Oreochromis niloticus (Nile tilapia) is the source of this 2195-nucleotide long non-coding RNA. Lineage: Eukaryota; Metazoa; Chordata; Actinopteri; Cichliformes; Cichlidae. The record is from Ensembl.
AUGUAUUGUUUUUCUUUCAGAAUGGCGUUGAUGAGACUUAUUAAUAGUCAUCCUGAGACCCCUUAUUUUCGUCCACCACCCUUACAUGUGCGUGUAUUAAAAGUUUCUGAACAGGCAAGGGUGAUAAAAUGGGAUGUGAAGGAGGGAGUGGCAAAACCCAUCACUAAAAAGUGUAAUAUGGUGGCAGCCCUCUCUGAUGGGGUAACAGUUGUUAAAGUGACUUUGUUUGAGGCAUUUGCAUCAAAGGUGCAGGAAGGGGUUUCAUAUAUAAUUAAAGGCCAUGAGCUAAGAGGGACAGCUCCCCCCUAUGCCAUUCAUAUUAGUGCCACCACACAAUUCUUCAGAGCCUCUGCCCUGUGUGUCCCCGAAGAGCUGCUUUCUAAAGCAGACAAUCUUUUGCAUCCCCCGGCCCCUUUGACCCAGCUGAAGAUGAGCUCUACAAAUGUGGGGCUUAUGACCGUAGAAGGGGAGGUUGUGGAGGUAAGCAUUUGUGCUGUGAUCAGGAGAUUGCUUGGUUCUUCUUUUUUUUUUUUUUUCUUCUUUUUUUUUUUUUUUUUUAAUAGAAGCCAUGACUGUUUUAUGUAUUCAAGUUUAAAUAAUGUAUUUGACUUUUCAGUGUUUGGCCAUCCGGAAAGUGGUGUCGGGGAACCAAGAAGUUCCAGUCAAAAAUGUGCAGUUAAAGCAGGAUGCUUGUACCAUGAGACUGUGUUUGUGGAGGGAGGCGGCCGUCCAUGAGCUUCACGUGGGAGACCACAUAAAGGUGUCGCACGUCAAAGUGAAACAGUCCACUUUUGGAUUCGAGCUGCACACGACAGCAUUUACAAAUAUUGAGGUAUGAAGAAGCUGUAUUUGUACCAACAUGUAAUAGCAAUGUAAAAACAAUGUUUAGAAUGAUAGAUUUUGAAAUGUAAAUGCAUACAAUCUCACAGUAGGUGAAAAUAUGAUGGUGCAUGUAUUCUAUGCUCUUGCAGAGCUAGCAAGCUGUAUUUGGUAUAUAGAUAUCUGGAAGUAGAUCUAUAAAUAAAUGUUAGAUAAUGCCAUGUAUUAUGUAUGUGAACUGGAAGAGUGUGUGGGGGGGGGAGAGGAGAAGAAAUGUGCCAAAUUGACCAGAGUUUUUAGAUGAAAGAAGUUGAAGGUUCAAAUGCUUACUAGGUGGUUGUGUAUUGACAGACAAAUGAAGAGGCACGUGCAGAGGUUAAUGUCGUCGGUGUCACCAGUACCAACAGCCCCAAUCAGCUUGAGCUACUACUGGAAGAUGGAGAGAGCCUGUUUAUUGACGCGCACAUGUGGCAGCCAUUUGAGAAAGACCUCGAGAAGGCCAUGGUCUGUGUAAACAUGAAACUGAAAGGGAAGCAUGUUUCAGAGAUUGAAAAAAACUAGGGUGUGAGAAGUUAAAACUGUUUGUCGUGUUGAAAAUGUUCAUUAUGUAAAGUUUAAAAGUUUCAAAUAUUUUGUGUUCAUAUGGAAAAAAAAAAAAUUGUAAUAAAGAGUUGGAAAUGAAAUGCAAAUUGGACAGUAUGAUUAAUACAAAUCAGGGCUCUAGACUAACUUUUUGCCAUGGUCGUACCGGUGCACUUUAAAACGUUAGGCGCAUUGGGCCAAAAGUUAGGUGCACUCAAAUUUUUCAACCACAUCGCUUAACACCGCACUUUUUUUGGGGGGGGGGGGGAGAAUUGCAGUCCAUACAGACAAUAUUUAUUUCUAAAUUAACUGACAUUCUUGUGCUUAAAGUGCUUUGUCAAUAUUGUAGAGAAUGUUAAACUUAAUCAUCAUCUUGGCCUCCUCUGACCACCUGUUUGCUGCUGAAAGGCAGUGGGGAGAGGGGACACUUGGGCAGUGCAUUUAUCACAGCAUAUAAUGUGAUUUCUGGAUAAACUGCUGCUUUUUCAGCAUUCAAAGAUUAAUGGCACUGUGUCAGAGCACUGGCUAUGAAUUUCAGAAGGGUCAGGCCUCAACUUAACAGAAAAGGUAUCAAUAGUUUCAUCUUUUCUUAUUACCCACAGCUACAUCCACUUCUGUCAGGCCUAGGCUGCUCACUACGGCUGGGUAUCAUCACUGAUUUCUAUAAUCCAUUCGAUUCUGCUUCUCAAAGUCCUGAUUCAGUUCAAUUUAAGACGGUCAGAAAUAUUAUUCUGAUAAUUUAUCAGUACUGAUACAUGUGAGACUUCAUAAGAAUUGUGAGCAUGACAGCAGAU